GUGGGAGCCGAGCUUGCUCGCGAUGGCGGUAGUUCAGUCAGCAUCGAUGCCAUCUGAUCCGACGCUAUCGCGAGCAAGCUCGGCUCCCAC
This 90-nucleotide unclassified non-coding RNA is filed under the name Pseudomonas corrugata. The record is from RNAcentral. Lineage: Bacteria; Pseudomonadati; Pseudomonadota; Gammaproteobacteria; Pseudomonadales; Pseudomonadaceae. RNAcentral also lists the same sequence under 1 other name.